AUGUUUAUGGGGAAAAAAUCUGAACAUGGUGAGUCUUGUAACUCUUUAGUGGCUUGGAAAAGAGUGUGUUGUCCCAAAGAUAAGGGAGGUCUCGGAGUGAUCAACAUUAAAGUUCAUAAUCAAGCACUCCUCCUGAAAUUCUUGGAUAAAUUUUACACUCAUUCAGAUCUCCAAUGGGUUAAAUUACUUUGGGAGUCAUACUAUACUGGUACUGUCCCUCAUCCUGUGCCUAAGUGCUGUUCAUUUUGGUGGCGAUACAUGGUUAAAAUUAUGUCUAUCUACAGAGGAGUCGCCAAAUGUGAGGUACGGAAUGGCUUACAUGUAUCCAUGUGGCAUGAUAAUUGGAAUGGUCUAGUCCUCUCGGAAAAUUUCGCCUGCUUGUAUUCAUAUACCAAGACUUAA
Molecule: ribosomal RNA, 402 nt
Filed under: Triticum aestivum (bread wheat)
Lineage: Eukaryota; Viridiplantae; Streptophyta; Magnoliopsida; Poales; Poaceae
Description: partial small subunit ribosomal RNA
Source: RNAcentral